AGCCGCUAUGAACUGUCGGAGAGCUGGACAGUGACUCGCUAACGUGCUGUAGCAGAGACAGCAUCGGGUCCGCAAGGAGUGGAUUUAUUGUGGGACUGGUGAACGGCGAUCUACCGGGCAACGGAACUGUAAGUCAGACUUCUGUGCUCUUACUGGGAGAAGAGGAUUUUCUCCAUCGUCCGGCGUGAGCAGCAAACAGGCCUGCAACAAGUGUGAAUACAUGGCUGGUAAGGACAUGAGGAGGAAACAGUAGGAGCUGUGUGAAGCUACUAAAGGCAGUGGAUCCCUCAGCAGCUGGAUUACAAAGAGCACAGUCUCAGAUCAACACAGCCCUGCCCUCCAGCACUAUCAGCAGCAGGAGCAGCAGCAACCCCUCAACAGCAACAUUGUACCCAUCAGCUUUGAGCACCCGCCCCUAUAAACGUCUCUGCACGGCCCUGCUUGAAAAUUUCUCUAGAUCCACCCCUGGACCUGUCCUGGACCAGCAACACCAAAUCAGUGACAAAAAGAGCUCAGCAGCGACUGCAAUUCAAGAGACGACUGAAGAAGGUCCACAUCCCCAAACCCAUCUUUAACACCUUCUACAGAGGUACCAUACAGAGCAUCCUAACCCGCUAUUUACACCUCACGCUGCACUGGGAAAGCCACAAGCAUCAUAGCCGACCCGCAUCACCUUUCCCACCAACUGUUUACCACCCCUUAAUCCAGAAGAUGACUCUGCGUCAUCAGGAGCAGGUGGGCAAGAUUGUGCAAUAGGAUUUUCCCCCAAAGCAAUCCGGCUCCUGAACACCAUGCUGCGCUCCUCCACACUGAACUCUCUUCUCCACACACUUCUUGGACUACAUAACACUCUCCUUUCACAACCAAUUCUUACACUACCCUGUAUUGUACUGAUCGACUCUGUCUGUUGUCUUUAUUUAUUCUCAUUGUUUUCUAUUCUUACUCUCUCUGUAUUCAAGUACAAUACUGUUGUACUUACUCUUAGAUUAUCUUAUUUCUGUAUAGUUGUAAGUAUGUAUGUAUAUUUGAAUUUUCCCAUUUUAUUUUUACACUUUGCACCUUUGAUCCAGGACAAUGAUAUUUCAUCGCACUGUAUACUUGAGUGCAUGUUGUUGGGUUGACAAUAAAACUCUGCUUGACUUGAAUUAAACUUGUGCAUUAGCGAAUGAGGAAAUGAGCCUCUACAGGCCUCAGACAGC
This is a long non-coding RNA of Oreochromis aureus, 1199 nucleotides long. Lineage: Eukaryota; Metazoa; Chordata; Actinopteri; Cichliformes; Cichlidae. The record is from Ensembl.